Molecule: RNA transcript, 1256 nt
Organism: Coffea arabica (coffee)
Lineage: Eukaryota; Viridiplantae; Streptophyta; Magnoliopsida; Gentianales; Rubiaceae
Gene name: 6,7-dimethyl-8-ribityllumazine synthase, chloroplastic-like
Source: RefSeq, a predicted model, not a curated record
GAUGUAAGUGAGAUUUUUAAAACUUUUAGGAUGCUAGUUGAUAUUAGGAUAAAUCCCAAAAUCAAACCAUGAAAUUAACUACUACUUGUAGUUGGGUUCUGAGGAAUAAGGAUACGUUAGCGACCCAAGAAAGAACACACUCAACAGAAAAGAAGUGCAAAACAAGGAUCAAAAUCAAAACGAAAAUGGCGGCUGCUGCUGCUGCUUCUUCUUCUUCAAUUGCUAAUAACCGCUUAGUUCGUCAUCGUCCCCGUGGCAUCUUCAAGCAUAAUCAUCAGCCCAUCAUCUCUGUUCCGCUCAGACGCCAGCAAUCAUCAUCUACAUCAUUGUCUGUCCAACUUCAACCACCAAAAGAAUCUGGAUUUGGGAUUUUGUGGAAGAGGAAGGAGGACGAGAAGGGCCGGCUGGGAAGUCUUGCAGCUGUUCGACAGUUGACUGGGUCACUUACAACUGCUGAGGGUCUCCACUUUGGCAUUGUGGUGGCUCGCUUCAAUGAAAUUGUCACAAAGCCACUGUUGGAGGGAGCUUUGGACACUUUCAAAAAGUACUCGGUCAAAGAAGAAGAUAUCGAUGUUGUGUGGGUUCCAGGUAGUUUUGAAAUUGGUCUGGUUGCAGAGAAACUUGGAAAGUCAAGAAAGUAUCAAGCCAUCUUAUGUAUUGGAGCUGUGAUUAGAGGUGAUACUUCCCAUUAUGAUGCUGUAGCAAAUUCAGCUGCAUCUGGAGUACAGUCUGCAGGCCUUAAUUCUGGUUAGUCGAUGUUAAUGCAGGUGUUCCAUGCGUAUUUGGUGUUUUGACCUGUGAUGACAUGGAGCAGGCUCUCAAUCGAGCUGGUGGUAAGUCUGGAAAUAAAGGUGCUGAAGCAGCGCUGACAGCUAUUGAAAUGGCUUCCUUGUUUGAACACCAUCUGAAAUUUUAGGAAGCAGGCGCUGUCCACCAACAUUAGAGCUUUGUACUGUUGUAAUUCCUCUCUUCUGAGCCCUUCUCAGCAGGCAGAGUAGGAUUCCUUACUCCAGAGAUUUUGUGUUGUAAUUCCCUGCAUGCAGUUGGUCGUGGGCUACAUUGGGUUACAUGGAAUAUUUGUUGGGAUUUUUGUAAACCUUAUAUAACAGUUUCUCCUAUACUCAUGCACUACGUUGGUUUCUAAUUUGAUGUUUGUAGGGAUUUUUGUCAAUUUGUAAACAAACUUGUUGGUGAAAUUAGUGCCAGUUUCUUGUCAAGCGUGGUAACUUAAGUAGCAAUCUAGUAGCAUUGGGCAA